UGUGACAUACCUACAACUGUUGCUUCGGCGGGUAGGCCGUCCCCUGAAAAGGACGCCUCCCGGCCCGGACCGGACCCCCCGCGGGACCGGACCCGGCGCCCGCCGGAGGAUAACCAAACUCUAUUGUAACGACGUUUCUUCUGAGUGGCAUAAGCAAAAUAAUCAAAACUUUUAACAACGGAUCUCUUGGUUCUGGCAUCGAUGAAGAACGCAGCGAAAUGCGAUAAGUAAUGUGAAUUGCAGAAUUCAGUGAAUCAUCGAAUCUUUGAACGCACAUUGCGCCCGCCAGCAUUCUGGCGGGCAUGCCUGUUCGAGCGUCAUUUCAACCCUCAAGCUCUGCUUGGUGUUGGGGCUCUACGGUCGACGUAGGCCCUCAAAGGUAGUGGCGGACCCUCCCGGAGCCUCCUUUGCGUAGUAACAUUUCGUCUCGCACUGGGAUCCGGAGGGACUCUUGCCGUAAAACCCCCCAAUUUUCCAAAGGUUGACCUCGGAUCAGGUAGGAAUACCCGCUGAACUUAAGCAUAUCAAUAAGCGGAGGAA
Molecule: ribosomal RNA, 540 nt
Filed under: Colletotrichum sp. MY298
Lineage: Eukaryota; Fungi; Ascomycota; Sordariomycetes; Glomerellales; Glomerellaceae
Description: partial 18S ribosomal RNA
Rfam family: 5.8S ribosomal RNA (bases 167-320)
Source: RNAcentral